AGAAUCAACGCUGGCGGCGUGCCUAACACAUGCAAGUCGAACGAGAAAGUGGAGCAAUCCAUGAGUAAAGUGGCGACCGGGUGAGUAACACGUGACUAACCUACCUUCGAGUGGGGGAUAACCUCGGGAAACCGGGGCUAAUACCGCAUAACAUCUUUGGAGUGGAAAUUCUGGAGAUCAAAGGAGCAAUUCGCUGGAAGAGGGGGUCGCGGCUGAUUAGCUAGUUGGCGGGUAACGGCCCACCAAGGCUUAGAUCGGUAGCCGGCCUGAGAGGGCGCACGGCCACACUGGAACUGAAACACGGUCCAGACUCCUACGGGAGGCAGCAGUGGGGAAUUUUGCGCAAUGGGGGAAACCCUGACGCAGCAACGCCGCGUGGAGGAUGAAGUCCCUUGGGACGUAAACUCCUUUCGACCCGGACGAUAAUGACGGUACGGGUGGAAGAAGCCCCGGCUAACUUCGUGCCAGCAGCCGC
RNAcentral lists this ribosomal RNA (475 nucleotides) under uncultured bacterium. Its description in RNAcentral is "SSU rRNA". It matches the Rfam family "Bacterial small subunit ribosomal RNA", at positions 26 to 518 of the family's 1533-position model. The record is from RNAcentral.